RNA transcript from Homo sapiens (human), 770 nucleotides. It is a transcript of the gene named olfactory receptor family 10 subfamily V member 2 pseudogene, with no coding region annotated. Lineage: Eukaryota; Metazoa; Chordata; Mammalia; Primates; Hominidae. The record is from RefSeq and is marked validated. The transcript has a single exon.
CCAUGUACUUCUUCCUGACAAACUUUGCAGGUCUGGAGAUCUUCUACUUUUUCACCAUUGCCCCUCUGACUCUGGCCAAUGUCCUACCCAUGGGGAGAAACCUCAUUUCCCUGCCCGGCUGUGGAGGCCAGAUGUUCUUCUUCAUCUUCCUGGGAAGGGCUGACUGCAUCCUGCUGGCCGUCAUGGCCUUUGACUGGUUUGUGGCCAUCUGUUGUCCUCUCUGUUACGGCCUCAUCAUGAGCUGGAGGUUGUGUGUCCAGCUGACCCUGGGGUCUCUGCUGUUGGGGUUCUUCUUAGCCAUGCAGCUGACCGUGCUUAUCUUCCAACUCCCUUUAUGCAGCAGCAAAGAAAUCAGCACGUUCUACUGUGAUGUCCUCCCUGUCAUGAGACUGGCCUGUGCAGAUACCUGGGUCCAUGAGGCCACUAUGUCUAUGGUCAGCACCACCUUUCUCACCGUCCCCUUCCUGCUCAUCACUCUUUCCUAUGUCUCCAUCAUGGCCGCCAUCUUGAAGAUUUGCUCUGCAGAGGGGAGGCACAAGGCCUUCUCCACCUUUCCUCCCACCUGACUGUGGUUCUCCUCCAGGACUGAUGUACACGCCUCGCCUUCUUGUGUCCCAGCUCUAGCUACUAUCCUGAGAGGGGCCAGGCAGUGUCUGUGGUUUACACCUUCAUUACCCCUGUGCUGAACCCUUUGAUCUACAGCAUGAGGAACACAGAACUUAAGGAUGCUUUGAAGAGAGCAAUGACGAGGGUCCCGCUGCUCUAAACAC